This 433-nucleotide ribosomal RNA is filed under the name uncultured bacterium. RNAcentral's name for it is "partial 16S ribosomal RNA". It matches the Rfam family "Bacterial small subunit ribosomal RNA", at positions 29 to 507 of the family's 1533-position model. The record is from RNAcentral.
AACGAACGCUGGCGGCAUGCCUAACACAUGCAAGUCGAACGAGGCCUUCGGGUCUAGUGGCGCACGGGUGCGUAACGCGUGGGAACCUGCCCUUAGGUUCGGAAUAACUCCCCGAAAGGGGUGCUAAUACCGGAUAAUGUCUUCGGACCAAAGAUUUAUCGCCUUUGGAUGGGCCCGCGUUGGAUUAGCUAGUUGGUAGGGUAAAAGCCUACCAAGGCGACGAUCCAUAGCUGGUCUGAGAGGAUAAUCAGCCACACUGGGACUGAGACACGGCCCAGACUCCUACGGGAGGCAGCAGUGGGGAAUAUUGGACAAUGGGCGAAAGCCUGAUCCAGCAAUGCCGCGUGAGUGAUGAAGGCCUUAGGGUUGUAAAGCUCUUUUACCCGGGAUGAUAAUGACAGUACCGGGAGAAUAAGCUCCGGCUAACUCCGUG